UACAGAGGUCCCGAGCGUUGUUCGGAUUCACUGGGCGUAAAGGGUGCGUAGGUGGUGAGGUAAGUCGGAUGUGAAAUCUCCGGGCUCAACCCGGAAACGGCAUUGGAAACUACCUUGCUAGAGGUUUUGAGGGGGGACUGGAAUUCUCGGUGUAGCAGUGAAAUGCGUAGAUAUCGAGAGGAACACCGGUGGCGAAGGCGAGUCCCUGGAAAACACCUGACACUGAGGCACGAAAGCUAGGGGAGCAAACAGG
This 253-nucleotide ribosomal RNA is filed under the name uncultured prokaryote. RNAcentral's name for it is "partial 16S ribosomal RNA". It matches the Rfam family "Bacterial small subunit ribosomal RNA", at positions 524 to 776 of the family's 1533-position model. The record is from RNAcentral.